AUUGAACGCUGGCGGAAUGCUUUACACAUGCAAGUCGAACGGCAGCACGGACUUCGGUCUGGUGGCGAGUGGCGAACGGGUGAGUAAUGUAUCGGAAUGUGCCCAGUCGUGGGGGAUAACGUAGUGAAAAUUACGCUAAUACCGCAUACGAUCUAUGGAUGAAAGCGGGGGAUCGCAAGACCUUGCGCGCUUGGAGCGGCCGAUAUCAGAUUAGGUAGUUGGUGGGGUAAAGGCCCACCAAGCCAACGAUCUGUAGCUGGUCUGAGAGGACGACCAGCCACACUGGAACUGAGACACGGUCCAGACUCCUACGGGAGGCAGCAGUGGGGAAUUUUGGACAAUGGGCGAAAGCCUGAUCCAGCCAUUCCGCGUGCAGGAUGAAGGCCCUCGGGCUGUAAACUGCUUUUGUACAGAACGAAAAGGUUUCUACUAAUACUAGGAGCUCAUGACGGUACUGUAAGAAUAAGCACCGGCUAACUACGUGCCAGCCGCCGCGGUAA
Molecule: ribosomal RNA, 500 nt
Filed under: uncultured bacterium
Lineage: Bacteria
Description: partial 16S ribosomal RNA
Rfam family: Bacterial small subunit ribosomal RNA
Source: RNAcentral